Molecule: ribosomal RNA, 229 nt
Filed under: uncultured bacterium
Lineage: Bacteria
Description: partial 16S ribosomal RNA
Rfam family: Bacterial small subunit ribosomal RNA
Source: RNAcentral
CAUGUAGGCGGCUCGCCAAGUCUGAUGUGAAAGCCCUGGGCUCAACCCAGGAAGUGCAUUGGAUACUGGAUAACUUGAGUACGGGAGAGGAAAGUGGAAUUUCGAGUGUAGGGGUGAAAUCCGUAGAUAUUCGAAGGAACACCAGUGGCGAAGGCGGCUUUCUGGACCGAUACUGACGCUGAGAUGCGAAAGCGUGGGGAGCAAACAGGAUUAGAUACCCUGGUAGUCC